UACGUAGGGUGCAAGCGUUAAUCGGAAUUACUGGGCGUAAAGCGUGCGCAGGCGGUUCUGUAAGUCUGACGUGAAAUCCCCGGGCUCAACCUGGGAAUUGCGUUGGAGACUGCAAGGCUAGAAUCUGGCAGAGGGGGGUAGAAUUCCACGUGUAGCAGUGAAAUGCGUAGAGAUGUGGAGGAACACCGAUGGCGAAGGCAGCCCCCUGGGUCAAGAUUGACGCUCAUGCACGAAAGCGUGGGGAGCAAACAGG
This 253-nucleotide ribosomal RNA is filed under the name uncultured bacterium. Its description in RNAcentral is "partial 16S ribosomal RNA". It matches the Rfam family "Bacterial small subunit ribosomal RNA", at positions 524 to 776 of the family's 1533-position model. The record is from RNAcentral.